RNAcentral lists this ribosomal RNA (497 nucleotides) under uncultured bacterium. Its description in RNAcentral is "partial 16S ribosomal RNA". It matches the Rfam family "Bacterial small subunit ribosomal RNA", at positions 28 to 507 of the family's 1533-position model. The record is from RNAcentral.
GAUGAACGCUGGCGGCGUGCCUAAUACAUGCAAGUCGAGCGAACAGAGGAGGCGCUUGCCUGCCUGACUUUCGCGGCGGGCGGGUGUGUAACACGUCGAUAACCUUCCUUUAUGACUGGGAUUACCUCGGGAAAACGGAGCUAAUACCGGCUAAUAUUUUCAACCGCAAGGUUCAAUAGUUACAGACGGCUUUGCUGCCACUUAUACCUGGAUCCGCGCCGCAUUAGCUAGUUGGUCGGGUAACGGCUUACCAAGGCGACGAUGCGUAGCUGGUCUGAGAGGAUGAUCAGCCACACUGGAACUGAGACACGGUCCAGACUCCUACGGGAGGCAGCAGUGGGGAAUAUUGCACAAUGGGCGAAAGCCUGAUGCAGCCAUGCCGCGUGUAUGAAGAAGGCCUUCGGGUUGUAAAGUACUUUCAGCAGGGAGGAAGGGAGUAAAGUUAAUACCUUUACUCAUUGACGUUACCCGCAGAAGAAGCACCGGCUAACUACGUG